This 316-nucleotide unclassified non-coding RNA is filed under the name Hevea brasiliensis (rubber tree). The record is from RNAcentral. Lineage: Eukaryota; Viridiplantae; Streptophyta; Magnoliopsida; Malpighiales; Euphorbiaceae.
GUUUUUUUUAAGCGGUGGGUUUGUUACUGGUUUAACUAAAAACAGUAUUGUAGCUACAAUGAAAAUACAAAAGUAGAACUUAAAAUAUGUGGCAUUUGAAGAUUCAGAAGUGUAUGUGUUGAACUGCUUAAAUUGGUGAAUCAUUCUUCCUUUAACCCUUUUGAGUAACUGAUUGAUUGAGUGAAUUUAGCAGAAUCUGUCACCUUCCUUAUUGAUAAAUUCUGCCCAGGUCAGACCAUCAAAUGAGUAGAUUGGCUUUUCAAUAACAUUUCCAGGAGCUUCAUAAACAGUAGUCCUUGUGUUGUCCCAUCUUUCA